GCAGGCUCCGAACGGCCGCUGUCACCGAGAACCCUGCCCCUCCGCGGUGUUUAUAGAACAUCUUGCUCAUUAAAAAGAAAAAAGGAAACGGCCCAGAUCUCUUGAGCUAUCAACUGUGGUUCAAAUACCGUCCACGUGUUCGAAAUGCUUACACGCUCUUGCAUCUAUUACACUGGUGAAUUGCGGUGACUCAGAUGGACAAUGCAUGGCCCCUGAAGUUUCAGUUAUGACAACGUGCAAGCGUUGGCGGAGGGAUCCCAAAGUUCCCAGGGCCGAAUUGCUUCUGGACUUCAGGUCACCGUAAAUGACAUCGUUUUAACCUCAACCUGGUAGGAAGAAAUUUACUAGUGGGGUAUAAAUGUCCGGAAAUAGGAAUAACAUUUAAGCGGACCUUCAAUUUUACUUAAUUUUCCAAGAUGUCCUUAAUAUCAAAAUUUACCCCCUGGCGCAAGGCUCCUGCACUCUCCCCAGAGCGUCUUGGAUGUUGAGAGCAUGUUUAUGUCCUUAGCAACUGCAGGUCUAGUAAACUGAGGACUGGAGAAAUCACCCUGGACCUGAGCAAGAGGGCAGCCAGGAAGACGCUAUGCCAACAACGCCUGCCAACAUUUCAGGAAAAAUAAUUGAAAUAAUAAAUAAUUCUGAUUAGGCCGAUAAACCUGGAGGCUGAGGGCAGGACGGAUGCUGAUCUUCCUGACUGAAUCCCGCCAGUUACCUAGAACACGCUGUGUAGAACGUUCUCUUGGAUGUUUGCUGAUCAGCUAUGAUGCCAGGCAGUGAAAGGGCAUCGGGACAACAGUGUCUGUCCCGUGCUCUGUGAAACGGACACAGCACGACUUCACAGGGACACUUUGCAGAGCAGACUUCAGGAAACAAACAGAGCUUAAAAAUAAGCAUUUCCUAAAUAUGGAAAUGAGAAAACGGUGACAUCACUAGAGAAGACCCAAAGACUUUUUUUUUUUCCACCUUAAAUGUUGCCUACCUCUUUUGGGCCAAUAAAUAAAUCUAAGCUUCAGAAGUAAUUUUGAAAAGUUUC
This 1033-nucleotide long non-coding RNA is filed under the name Equus asinus (donkey). Its description in RNAcentral is "lncRNA (ENSEASG00005023697.1)". Lineage: Eukaryota; Metazoa; Chordata; Mammalia; Perissodactyla; Equidae. The record is from RNAcentral.